Molecule: long non-coding RNA, 926 nt
Organism: Cygnus atratus (black swan)
Lineage: Eukaryota; Metazoa; Chordata; Aves; Anseriformes; Anatidae
Exons: 3
Source: RefSeq, a predicted model, not a curated record
UUGCUUUGGUUUGUCAUCAUUCAUUGUUCAGAAUACAGCUGCUUAAUGACAGGAUGUGGGAAAUGAAGUUUAUGUCCUCGUAGGCUUUAAAAUAAAAAUUCCUGAACAAUGGAGGGGAAGGACGCGCUUGCACAGAGCAGCCUGCCUGCGCGCUGAGCCGCAGCCCCGCCGGAGCUCCACAGACAGAGCUUUUGCUCUGCGCUUUAAAAAUAACCUGCUGUGUAAACCGGGGCAGCAUCCGCGCCUCGGCUCUGCUUACGUUACACGGCCGCUGCAGCUGCCUCUGCCCCGCGCCUCGCAGAGCGGGCCCCGUGUUUGAUAGGAAGAAAUGGAAAAUAAAAGACAACUGCCACGUACCUGCACGGGGGCGCUGCUUCUUUGCAAGCGCCCCUUGUUCAAUUCGGCUAGCAAACGAUCAGAAGGGGAAGGGAAGGAAUUGGCCAUAAAGACUGGGAGCAAGUGGGACACGGGCAGAGGAGACUUCGUUAAGCAGGCCGUGAUGCAGGGCCCCUGUUGGCGUGCUCGUGGCUCAUCCCUGGCGGCGCAGGACGGCAGGCGGGCGCGUGAUCUUUGCUCCUGGUGGGAACGCUUUCAUCCGGGUACAUGGCACAUUAGGGCAGAAAAGGGAAAUUGCUUGCAUGCAGAAUGGCCAGGACCAGUGGUUUGUGCCCACCGCAGCUCUGUAGGACACAGAAGUUGCCUCUUCCACGCCUCGUAGCACCGUGGUUUCACAGCAGCACUGAACAGGCUCUAAAUGGCAUAGAUCAUGUGAAAUUUCUGAAAAAGCUGCUUCACGGACCUCACAGUUCCUCCACUGUCUGUGAACGAGAGAAUGUUCCCCUGGUCGGGCCCUUCCUCUGCUCUUGCCAUUUACUCCAGGCAGCAGAAGUCCUUGGGAUUGAUGCAGGUAAGCAUCAGUUGAAACC